RNAcentral lists this ribosomal RNA (243 nucleotides) under uncultured bacterium. RNAcentral describes it as "partial small subunit ribosomal RNA". It matches the Rfam family "Bacterial small subunit ribosomal RNA", at positions 26 to 285 of the family's 1533-position model. The record is from RNAcentral.
AGAAUCAACGCUGGCGGCGUGCCUAACACAUGCAAGUCGAACGAGAAAGUGGAGCAAUCCAUGAGUAAAGUGGCGCACGGGUGAGUAACACGUGACUAACCUACCCUUGAGUGGGGAAUAACUGAGGGAAACCUUGGCUAAUACCGCAUAAUACCUACGGGUCAAAGGAGCAAUUCGCUUAAGGAGGGGUCGCGGCAGAUUAGCUAGUUGGCGGGUAAUGGCCCACCAAGGCAGUGAUCUGUA